RNAcentral lists this ribosomal RNA (498 nucleotides) under uncultured bacterium. Its description in RNAcentral is "partial 16S ribosomal RNA". It matches the Rfam family "Bacterial small subunit ribosomal RNA", at positions 28 to 507 of the family's 1533-position model. The record is from RNAcentral.
GACGAACGCUGGCGGCGUGCCUAAUACAUGCAAGUCGAACGAGAGCAACCGGUGCUUGCACUGGUCAAUCUAGUGGCGAACGGGUGAGUAACACGUGGGUAACCUGCCCAUCAGAGGGGGAUAACAUCCGGAAACGGAUGCUAAAACCGCAUAGGUCUUCGAACCGCAUGGUUUGAAGAGGAAAAGAGGCGCAAGCUUCUGCUGAUGGAUGGACCCGCGGUGCAUUAGCUAGUUGGUGAGGUAACGGCUCACCAAGGCCGUGAUGCAUAGCCGACCUGAGAGGGUGAUCGGCCACAUUGGGACUGAGACACGGCCCAAACUCCUACGGGAGGCAGCAGUAGGGAAUCUUCCGCAAUGGACGCAAGUCUGACGGAGCAACGCCGCGUGAGUGAAGAAGGUUUUCGGAUCGUAAAACUCUGUUGUUAGAGAAGAACAAGUGCUAGAGUAACUGUUAGCGCCUUGACGGUAUCUAGACAGAAAGCCACGGCUAACUACGUG